AGUGAACGCUGGCGGUAGGCCUAACACAUGCAAGUCGAACGGCAGCACAGUAAGAGCUUGCUCUUACGGGUGGCGAGUGGCGGACGGGUGAGGAAUACAUCGGAAUCUACUUUUUCGUGGGGGAUAACGUAGGGAAACUUACGCUAAUACCGCAUACGACCUACGGGUGAAAGCAGGGGAUCUUCGGACCUUGCGCGAUUGAAUGAGCCGAUGUCGGAUUAGCUAGUUGGCGGGGUAAAGGCCCACCAAGGCGACGAUCCGUAGCUGGUCUGAGAGGAUGAUCAGCCAUACUGGAACUGAGACACGGUCCAGACUCCUACGGGAGGCAGCAGUGGGGAAUAUUGGACAAUGGGCGCAAGCCUGAUCUAGCCAUACCGCGUGGGUGAAGAAGGCCUUCGGGUUGUAAAGCCCUUUUGUUGGGAAAGAAAAGCAGCAGGUUAAUACCCCGCUGUUCUGACGGUACCCAAAGAAUAAGCACCGGCUAACUUCGUG
This 492-nucleotide ribosomal RNA is filed under the name uncultured bacterium. RNAcentral describes it as "partial 16S ribosomal RNA". It matches the Rfam family "Bacterial small subunit ribosomal RNA", at positions 29 to 507 of the family's 1533-position model. The record is from RNAcentral.